Long non-coding RNA from Helicoverpa armigera (cotton bollworm), 517 nucleotides. RefSeq lists it as uncharacterized. The record is from RefSeq and is a predicted model, not a curated record. The transcript is spliced from 2 exons. Lineage: Eukaryota; Metazoa; Arthropoda; Insecta; Lepidoptera; Noctuidae.
UUUUUUUCUUGUGAUGUUAUUUUAAUUUAACUUAAACUACAUUACGCUAUGUUUUAUGCAAUAAAACAGUAAAGAGGUUUUCUAUAGGUGAAUUUUUACCUAUGUCAUUCGCGCGUUUGUCAAAUUGACUGAUGUGUAUGUGUACAUAGAGUGAGGUUAAUUUUGGGUUUAUUAUUGUUGAAUAGAUAAGUUUAUUUUGGCAGAGAAGAGAAAACGAGGAUAAACCUUUCUUGCAGAAGAAAAAGACAAGCUAGUGAAAUUGCUGACGUCUCAUAGAGACACAAUAUUAAACAAAAAACGGAUGGGACCACGAACGAAGCCAAAAACAAAGCUUGGAUCCAGUCACAAAUAGUUUUAAUGCGAUAGGAACCGUUUACAGUUUCAGGUGGUGCGAGAAAUUGGAAAGACGUGUAAAAACAUGCUGCGCCCAGCCCACCUCAAAUUGAAUUGGUGCAGGAGGAUGAUGAUAAUGUUUGGUACAUCAUAUGAGGACUAAUAUUAAAAUAUUUGUUUACUA